Molecule: ribosomal RNA, 1369 nt
Filed under: uncultured bacterium
Lineage: Bacteria
Description: bacterial SSU rRNA
Rfam family: Bacterial small subunit ribosomal RNA
Source: RNAcentral
GACGAACGCUGGCGGCGUGCCUAAUACAUGCAAGUAGAACGCUGAAGAGAGGAGCUUGCUCUUCUUGGAUGAGUUGCGAACGGGUGAGUAACGCGUAGGUAACCUGCCUUGUAGCGGGGGAUAACUAUUGGAAACGAUAGCUAAUACCGCAUAACAAUGGAUGACACAUGUCAUUUAUUUGAAAGGGGCAAUUGCUCCACUACAAGAUGGACCUGCGUUGUAUUAGCUAGUAGGUGAGGUAACGGCUCACCUAGGCGACGAUACAUAGCCGACCUGAGAGGGUGAUCGGCCACACUGGGACUGAGACACGGCCCAAACUCCUACGGGAGGCAGCAGUAGGGAAUCUUCGGCAAUGGGGGCAACCCUGACCGAGCAACGCCGCGUGAGUGAAGAAGGUUUUCGGAUCGUAAAGCUCUGUUGUAAGUCAAGAACGAGUGUGAGAGUGGAAAGUUCACACUGUGACGGUAGCUUACCAGAAAGGGACGGCUAACUACGUGCCAGCAGCCGCGGUAAUACGUAGGUCCCGAGCGUUGUCCGGAUUUAUUGGGCGUAAAGCGAGCGCAGGCGGUUUGAUAAGUCUGAAGUUAAAGGCUGUGGCUCAACCAUAGUUCGCUUUGGAAACUGUCAAACUUGAGUGCAGAAGGGGAGAGUGGAAUUCCAUGUGUAGCGGUGAAAUGCGUAGAUAUAUGGAGGAACACCGGUGGCGAAAGCGGCUCUCUGGUCUGUAACUGACGCUGAGGCUCGAAAGCGUGGGGAGCGAACAGGAUUAGAUACCCUGGUAGUCCACGCCGUAAACGAUGAGUGCUAGGUGUUGGAUCCUUUCCGGGAUUCAGUGCCGCAGCUAACGCAUUAAGCACUCCGCCUGGGGAGUACGACCGCAAGGUUGAAACUCAAAGGAAUUGACGGGGGCCCGCACAAGCGGUGGAGCAUGUGGUUUAAUUCGAAGCAACGCGAAGAACCUUACCAGGUCUUGACAUCCCGAUGCUAUUUCUAGAGAUAGAAAGUUACUUCGGUACAUCGGUGACAGGUGGUGCAUGGUUGUCGUCAGCUCGUGUCGUGAGAUGUUGGGUUAAGUCCCGCAACGAGCGCAACCCCUAUUGUUAGUUGCCAUCAUUCAGUUGGGCACUCUAGCGAGACUGCCGGUAAUAAACCGGAGGAAGGUGGGGAUGACGUCAAAUCAUCAUGCCCCUUAUGACCUGGGCUACACACGUGCUACAAUGGUUGGUACAACGAGUUGCGAGUCGGUGACGGCAAGCUAAUCUCUUAAAGCCAAUCUCAGUUCGGAUUGUAGGCUGCAACUCGCCUACAUGAAGUCGGAAUCGCUAGUAAUCGCGGAUCAGCACGCCGCGGUGAAUACGUUCCCGGGCCU